Molecule: long non-coding RNA, 907 nt
Organism: Seriola aureovittata
Lineage: Eukaryota; Metazoa; Chordata; Actinopteri; Carangiformes; Carangidae
Exons: 3
Source: RefSeq, a predicted model, not a curated record
CAUAGCCUUCCAGCAAUGGGCUGCUUGACUGAUCACAAUGGAUUAUUACGCUGAUAAAAUGCGUAACGUGAAGAAGAGUAUGUAGAAAGUUAAAAGUCCUGUCAGUCAAAAAAAAAAAGAAAAAAAGAAAAUGAAUUACGGAAACAUUGCAAAGCAAGCGAAAGGGGCAGCUGAGAAAAAGAGGCAUAGAGCAAAAGCUGACCGAAGAUGUUAAAUUGUACUGUUAGAAGCGGCAGUUACUGGUUACAGAGCUGCUAGCAAGCAGCAGUAAACAUUGUAAACUGGCCUUUUUUUCAUUGCAGACAUUUGACUUGUCUAAGCAGGGAAAGCUACAGGUGGAGCUAAUUCUGUUAACAAUGGCUGAGGGUAAGCUAGGCCAGCCAGUGAGUGAGCAUUCACAAUACCAGGACUCUUCUAAGUCAUUAAUGUUAUUAAGUACACCUGUGCUUUUCCUGCUACGGCAUUUCAAACUUCAAGCUGGGGAAUUGUCUGAGAAGCACACUAUCACAGAACAAUUGGGAGGCUUCAGUGAUAGCAACAUGGAGAGCCAUCCUAAUCAAGCUAAUAAUGUGAUGACAACCUCCUCUGUAGCUCGAUAACUUCAUGAAGGCACUGCAUGGGUUUUGAACUGGGGCCACUGGGAAUUGAUGCUUCAGGACAGAUUUGUGAGGGACACAUUCGCUGCCUAACCAUAACCGAACCUCAGUCAUAACCUUAACCAAUGAUGGCAGCUUUAUGUGAAACAGAAUUGGUCAAGACUACAGACUACUACAGCUGCAACAUCAAGCCAGAAGAUGGAGUUUGGUGUUCACGGGCCGCAGCUACUUCCUGCUUCACUUCACCUCAAGGACAGUGAGAGAUGGACAGGAAAGUCACGGGGAGAGAGAGGGGAUCACAUGCAGCAAAG